AGAGUUUGAUCCUGGCUCAGAACGAACGCUGGCGGCGCGCCUAACACAUGCAAGUCGAACGGCCGAUGGGGCUUGCUUCAUCGGCAGUGGCGGACGGGUGAGUAACGCGUGGGGACCUGCCUUUCGGCUCGGGACAACCGUGGGAAACUACGGCUAAUACCGGAUACGCCCUGGGUGCAAAUCCAGGGGAAAGAUUCAUCGCCGAGAGAUGGACCCGCGUCCGAUUAGCUAGACGGUGGGGUAACGGCCCACCGUGGCUUCGAUCGGUAGCCGGCCUGAGAGGGUGCACGGCCACACUGGAACUGAGACACGGUCCAGACUCCUACGGGAGGCAGCAGUGGGGAAUUUUUGGCAAUGGGCGAAAGCCUGACCAAGCAACGCCGCGUGGGUGAUGAAGUAUCUUGGUACGUAAAACCCUUUCGGCAGGGACGAACCUAAUGACGGUACCUGCGGAAGAAGCCCCGGCUAACUCCGUGCCAGCAGCCGCGGUAAUACGGGGGGGGCAAGCGUUGUUCGGAAUUACUGGGCGUAAAGGGCGCGUAGGCGGUUGGAUAAGUCAGCUGUGAAAACCACGGGCUCAACUCGUGGCCUGCAGUUGAGACUGUCUGGCUUGAGUGUGGGAGAGGAGAGUGGAAUUCCUGGUGUAUCGGUGAAAUGCGUAGAUAUCAGGAGGAACACCGGUGGCGAAGGCGGCUCUCUGGACCACAACUGACGCUGAGGCGCGAAAGCUAAGGGAGCAAACAGGAUUAGAUACCCUGGUAAUCCUGGCCGUAAACGAUGGGUACUAGGUGUUGGGGGUAUCGACCCCUCCAGUGCCGGAGUUAACUCAAUAAGUACCCCGCCUGGGGAGUACGGCCGCGAGGUUGAUACUCAUAGGAAUUGACGG
This 886-nucleotide ribosomal RNA is filed under the name uncultured bacterium. RNAcentral describes it as "bacterial SSU rRNA". It matches the Rfam family "Bacterial small subunit ribosomal RNA", at positions 8 to 916 of the family's 1533-position model. The record is from RNAcentral.